RNAcentral lists this non-coding RNA (24 nucleotides) under Arabidopsis thaliana (thale cress). The record is from RNAcentral. Lineage: Eukaryota; Viridiplantae; Streptophyta; Magnoliopsida; Brassicales; Brassicaceae.
AGUAACAUCCUGCCAAACCCGUCC